RNAcentral lists this long non-coding RNA (227 nucleotides) under Carica papaya (papaya). RNAcentral's name for it is "long non-coding RNA (CPAP_LNC011376)". Lineage: Eukaryota; Viridiplantae; Streptophyta; Magnoliopsida; Brassicales; Caricaceae. The record is from RNAcentral.
UACGGAAAACUGAAGCUUACCGGCGGCGGUGCUCUCAGGUGCGGCGGCUCUCCGGUGAAGUUCGUGUUUUGGUGAUUCGGCUCCGAUCAACCUGUAGAGAAAAGAAUGGUGAUCACGGUGGUAUAAAAAUUGCAUUAAACAGAGGCAGGGAAGGGCCUCAUCGGAGGCAAAAACCGAGAAGGGGCGCGGCGGCGCCGCUGGCUUUCGGCCCUGUUUUCCGGCCGUUU